Molecule: long non-coding RNA, 1313 nt
Filed under: Mus musculus (house mouse)
Lineage: Eukaryota; Metazoa; Chordata; Mammalia; Rodentia; Muridae
Description: long non-coding RNA chr7:91669179-91670492
Source: RNAcentral
AAUGAUCAAAUUGGAUUAUUGUUAAUUAGUGGGUCUGUCUACUUCUGUACAAUGAUACAGAAGUCUUGUUGGCUGAAUUUAUCUGUUUAAGUGGUCUGUAUUCAGAUGUAGAAAGCCAAAUGUCCUGUUUGAAAUCAAAACAACAAAAAAAAAUCUUUGGUGGAAAGGAGAAGGCUGAAUAUGAAAAUUAGUUUACACAUGUGGAAGUAAAAUAAUGAUUUUGAUAUAGUCUUUUGUUGAACUUGAUAAAUGGGUGCUGUGAUCUUAAGUAUCUUUGAGGACAAGUAACACUGGCUAUGAAACAUAGCUACUUAUUAAUAUACUAAGAGAUGAUAUACUGGGCUUAUGAAAAUGGAUAUCCUAUGGCCUAUUAGAUGAGAAGAAAUAGCUCAUUUGAAAAAUCUCUUCAUAGCAGAUUUAGAAUCUUAUGACGAUUUAUAACAUCUCAAUAGUGCUCAUCCAGGAAACGUUUUGUCCAUUGCAUGCUGCAUAUACCGUUACAGAACUGAUGGAUAUAGACUGACUUACUCUAUGCAGGUUGACUUUUAUCCUUGAGAAUAAAAUGAGUGAGGAUAGGGUAUGCCUUCUCUGAAUUUGUCAACAGGGUCUUUGAGCAAUGAUACCUUCCUGAACCACCAGAGAAGCAUCCGUGGCUAUAUUUGAUCAAAGGGAUCCAUACUUUUCAAUCCCUGACACUGUCAUUUGGGAGUGAUGAUGUUGCUGUACAGUGUCAAAUACCAGUGUAAAGUUAUGCAUCAUGGCAAUACAAGAGAGGUUUCAAGUUCGCUGGGGCUUUAUCUGACCUAGAAGUUCUUUCUGAUGUUAGUUAUACCUCAACCUAGAAUAAAGGUGAUAGGUUUGUGGGUGGAAAACAGAUUUCCUCUUUUCCUUCUAUUGAGUACCCUGUAGUGAUUUCUUUGCCUCGGUUUUAAUGUCCUUCUAUAUUGAUUUUUGUCUCCUUGAUUCUCUUUCGGGAGGAAAACAAAGUUAUUAUUAUCUCUGCCCAAUAGUUCAAAUCAUCAUCAUACUCUUACUCUCCCCUCUCCUCCUUUUCCUCCUCCUCCUUUUCUUAUUUAAACAAGCAUCCAUAUAAAGAGCAUCAUCUCAGAUCUAGCACCAAUAUCUAAACAGCAUACCUGUCUCUGGAGCUUUUCUGGCUUAAGUAUCACUAUAAAAACUUAGUUAUCUCCUUCAUUUCUUUACUUCUGUGUGUGUGUGUGUGUGUGUGUGUGCGCGCGCGCGCGCGUGCGCACGUUUGUAUGUGUGUAUGUACAUGUACGUAUGCACUUUCAUGUGAGCACAAAUCUUCACUC